This 130-nucleotide transfer-messenger RNA is filed under the name Actinomycetota bacterium. Its description in RNAcentral is "Actinobacteria bacterium (freshwater metagenome) partial transfer-messenger RNA". It matches the Rfam family "transfer-messenger RNA", at positions 236 to 374 of the family's 374-position model. Rfam says of the family: Bacterial tmRNA, also known as 10Sa RNA or SsrA, is named for its dual tRNA and mRNA-like properties. Lineage: Bacteria; Bacillati; Actinomycetota. The record is from RNAcentral.
ACAGUGACUGGACCGCUACCGCGCAGUGCCGUACGAAGCGCGGAGGUCGAGUAGCGAUAGCACGGCUACGCACGUAGAAGGCUUGACUGGAUCUGAGCGGACCCGGGUUCGAUUCCCGGCACCUCCACUA